AGAACGAACGCUGGCGGCAUGCCUAAUACAUGCAAGUCGAACGAACACUUCGGUGUUAGUGGCGCACGGGUGCGUAACGCGUGGGAAUCUGCCCUUGGGUUCGGAAUAACAGUUGGAAACGACUGCUAAUACCGGAUGAUAUCGAAAGAUCAAAGAUUUAUCGCCCAGGGAUGAGCCCGCGUAGGAUUAGCUAGUUGGUGAGGUAAAGGCUCACCAAGGCGACGAUCCUUAGCUGGUCUGAGAGGAUGAUCAGCCACACUGGGACUGAGACACGGCCCAGACUCCUACGGGAGGCAGCAGUAGGGAAUAUGGACAAUGGGCGCAAGCCUGAUCCAGCAAUGCCGCGUGAGUGAUGAAGGCCUUAGGGUUGUAAAGCUCUUUACCCGAGAUGAUAAUGACAGUAUCGGAAGAAUAAGCCCCGGAUAACUCCGUGCCAGCAGCCGA
Molecule: ribosomal RNA, 444 nt
Filed under: uncultured soil bacterium
Lineage: Bacteria
Description: bacterial SSU rRNA
Rfam family: Bacterial small subunit ribosomal RNA
Source: RNAcentral